This 63-nucleotide transfer RNA is filed under the name Solen strictus (Gould's razor shell). RNAcentral's name for it is "tRNA-Cys". The record is from RNAcentral. Lineage: Eukaryota; Metazoa; Mollusca; Bivalvia; Adapedonta; Solenidae.
UGUCUCGUAUUUUAUUAAGAAUAGUAAAUUGCAAACUUACAGGUGAACUAGGUUCCGAGACUU